RNAcentral lists this ribosomal RNA (402 nucleotides) under Monosiga ovata. RNAcentral describes it as "partial small subunit ribosomal RNA". It matches the Rfam family "Eukaryotic small subunit ribosomal RNA", at positions 30 to 432 of the family's 1831-position model. The record is from RNAcentral. Lineage: Eukaryota; Choanoflagellata; Craspedida; Salpingoecidae.
GCUUGUCUCAAAGAUUAAGCCAUGCAUGUCUAAGUAUAAACAACUUUGUACUGUGAAACUGCGAAUGGCUCAUUAAAUCAGUUAUAGUUUAUUUGAUAGUACCUUACUACUUGGAUAACCGUAGUAAUUCUAGAGCUAAUACAUGCGAAAAGACCCGACUUACGAAGGGUUGUAUUUAUUAGAUACAAAACCAAUGCGGAGCAAUCCGGUUAAAGGUGAUUCAUAAUAACUUUGCGAAUCGCAUGGCCUUGUGCCGGCGAUGAAUCAUUCAAAUUUCUGCCCUAUCAACUUUCGAUGGCAAGGUAUUGGCUUACCAUGGUCGCAACGGGUAACGGGGAAUUAGGGUUCGGUUCCGGAGAGGGAGCCUGAGAAAUGGCUACCACAUCCAAGGAAGGCAGCAGG